UUGUUGGCAGACAUGAAAGACGUAGAGCUUCUAAAUGUCCUACACCUUAAUUUAACCCCAAGACUUAAUCAAAUGUAUUAAAAAACAUACUGGAUAUCGUAGUAUUCAUAAUUAAAAUUCUAAUGUGCAUAUUAUUAUUUUUUUUAAAUAUGCAUGUGAUUGUUUUUUAUGUAUCUAUACUUAUUUUGUGCAGUAAUUUACUAUGUAUACUUGUAUAGUUGCUCUAUAUCCUGACCCAGAGGUUUCACCACCAGGAAUGAAGUGUCAGUCAGUUCUCCUACAUUGAUUGCCUUCAAAUUGGAGGGACUACUCCAAUUCGAGCAGAAAAUAGCCAAACUGUUUCCAGAGCAUGCUCCAAUAUGCAAGAAAAUUCUCACCAGGGAGUCAUCAAAGUGCAUGCAAUCAAAACUUGUGCUAUGCACGUCUGGCUGUAGGACUUCAUCUGGUGACGACAUUACACAAACACUAAUGGCAGGUAUAUAGCCCAACCUGACCUCUUUGUAAUCAGAUUAGUCAGUGUGCCAAGGAGUCUGAGAAUGGGUAAGUUAACCAACCCAAACACCCCUGAAUUUGUCAGUAAAUUUCUUGCAUGGUCAUAACAGGUGCUCUGUGCAAAAGUGAAUUUAAUGUUGUGGGUUGUACUGCAUUAGUUAACCUUAUUCAGACUUCCAGCAUUAUUAGAAUGACUGCCACAACUAGUUUAGACCCUAAAAUUGCUGCCCAACUGGUAGAUCAUUAUCAUAGAAGACAAAGCUUAAAAAUGUGGUUGUAAACAUAGUAUCCUUGCGAUCAUCUGAUCAGAUUGCACACUGACCUAUAUGGACAGCUAUGUUAAGAAGCCCAGGUUUCAGCUCCUAAGUUAUUAAUUUCAGCAGAGCCAUGUCUGCCACCAAGUCAAUAAAUCACCUAGAGAGUAACAGCACAGGUUUUCUGGGCUUCCUCUUAUGCUGGCAGUCAACUGCAUUACUUAGGCAUUUGAGACCAGAAAGGUGGUUAGACUGAUUUACAUGGGCCAGAUUUGAAUUUAAGCCAGUUAGACACCACGAAAGUCAGAGUUAGUCAGUGCAGAGCUAACUUCACAUGGCCUGGUGCCCAUCUUCAUCUUCCAUGAAAUUCAACAAACAUAUUCUGUAACACUUGCUUCCUUGCUGGAAUCCCCACGUGUUAGACUGCUUUCCUGACAUGUCUAUAAUUUUGUUAAAUUCAGCCUCGUACCAUGAAAUGGAUUUCAUUUACUCUCAUGUCUAUUUGCUCUUAUUGAACUUCAGUAAUUCUUGUCUGUUGUUCAGGUUAAACUCAGUUUAAACAUGUAAAAUAUUAACAGUCUAUAAAAUUACCCACUAUUAACACUAUUUUAUAUACUGUGCAUCCUGAAUAAAAAGUUAAAUUGAAAUAAAAAUUCUAGAAGAAAGACAGAAACAAACAAAUAAUUUAAAAUCCAUUGAUGUGAGUAAUACAUGUAUUGCAGCUUCACUGACUGUGUACUGAUGAAGAACACUGGUAAUCCAGCUAAUGUAUUAAAUAAAAUUUUAAUAGAUUGGCAUACAUUUGAAAUCACAAAGCUAUUAAGAGUUAGUAAGAGUCUUCAAAAGGGCAAAUUGUAUGUUAAAUCCAGACACUAAGUGUUUCUUCUCCCAUGGUGGGGUAAAAAUUAGUUCUUUGAGUACAAUUUGUGUGAAUGUGUAAAUUGACUAGAGUGAUAAUGCUGUUGCCCUUUCUGUCUAAUGCUCUACCCAGAAAAGUAAAGUCAAAACAAUAUAAAGCUAGACAAGUUUGGACCACAAAUUUUAUUUAGUCAUAUACUCUCUGAAAAUACUGCACACUGUAAAAAAUGUAUGUGAAAAUUACAGUAAAAUACUGUGAAAUAGCAACAGUAAAAGACUGUAAAGUCAAAAAUAGCAUAUCACCGUAGAACAUACAUCAAAUUACCGUAAAUAAAGAAACAGUAUGUACUUUUACUUUAAAGUAUGUAAUUAAUACAUUUUUACUGUCCUAAUAUGUAAAAAAUACACAUUGUUACUGUGAAAAUAGAAAAUUUUAGUAAAAUUAACGGUAAAAUGCCAUAACUUCAUAAACAAGUAAUUACCCUAAAAUGAAAGAUAUUACUCUGUCUAAAUUACAGAUUUUGCUGAUAUGUUUAUUUAAAUUUACGAUAUAAAACCUUUCACCAUUCAGCAAAAACAUACCUUCAUUUCUAUAGAAACAAGAUGUCAAAAAUAUGGAAUGUGUUUGUUAAAUUAGGUUGAUUUCAAAUUAAAAUGUUUAAAUAUGUGUUGAAUCUGAUAAUUAAUGUGCUAAUCCAAUUAAAAAGAUUAUAGGCUGUAAUUGUUUGGGUGUUUGUGGUUGUUUUGUGGUUUUGUGUUUAUGUUGUGUUUAUUUGUGUCUGAUAUUGCCCCAGUUUAUUUUUGUUGCUGCAACUUGUACUUCAUUGAAGGCUUCACAGAAAUGAACCACGUUGUUGAUUUAAGUGUUUUGGAGAUGGUUACAAACAUAUUUUGUAGAUAUCUAUCGUUUAAGGUUCAUUAAAGCCUGAGUUCAUUUAAGGAAAUGUUAGGUGAAAUGCACACACACAUGAACGGAACAUAGUUUUGAUUUUUUUAUUUUAAAUAAAUUAUUAAAAUAAAAAGAAUUUGAAGUAUUUCACUAAUGCAACAUUUCAUGUAUGCAUUUAAACUCCUGAGCGGUUAUAGAAUUGGAGGAAACAACAUGCUGCCUGCUGUGAUGACCAGGAACAUGUGGCAGUAAAAACACAGUGGAGAGGGAUGGGAUGAUUUGCAGCAAAGUGCCUAAGCUGGAACUGAAGCUUGACUGCCUGAAUAACAGUAUGUGGUACAAGUUCUACCAGCAGUGGACCUCAUCAAUCUCUUUCCUGUUCUACAAAUCCCCCCUUUUGCUCAGAUGCUGGUCUUGUCCAGGAUAAAUAUUGAGAGGAUCAUAUCAGCCCACAGUGGACAACAUGCAAGUCCUCAAGCUGAACUAGUGACAGUACAUUCUGUAGCUUCCAGUUUCUCGAACAUCAUGUCCAAUUCUAUCCCAUGUCUUCACACAAGUCUGGACUCAGUGACUUAUUCCUCUUGUUCAACCAGGGCAAGUAAGCCCUGAUACAUAAUGUUUAUUUCACCAUGGAUUAUCCAUCAUAUGGACAUGUGCUGUUUUUUCAAGAUUUCAUUACUAAUUUGUGAGUGUUGGACAAGGUAUUUGAUUAAUUCAAACUGUUUUUAACAUUGAAUAUGUACAUGUUUUCUUGCUUUAAUCUGACAAUGAUAUUUUUGUGCCUUGGUUUACAAUGGACCUUAUUCACUUAGUAAUUAAUCAUAAAAAAGUUGUUGAGGCAACUAGGCAAACCAACUGUAAUGCAACCACAGCUGCCAGUAUUUUACCGUAAAAUAUACAGAUUUUUUUUUAUAGUGCAGGUGCCUGAUUUUGACAAACACUAAAUUGUCACUGGAGAUAUUUUUUCUCUCACACAAUGAGUUGCAAGUGUACAAAAUACUGAAGCUCAUGCUGACACGGCUCGCAUCAAAUUUCACUGAGGUAAGAGAAAUAUGAGGCAUCUAAAAAUGUUUAUAUAUGUGUGUUUGGUCACUUGUGGAGAAAAUGCAGCACCUAUUGGUCAAAGUCCAGGAAAACCAUUGACAAAACCUGAUAUUGAUUGUCACUUUGA
This is a long non-coding RNA of Hemibagrus wyckioides, 3664 nucleotides long. RefSeq lists it as uncharacterized. The transcript has 4 exons. Lineage: Eukaryota; Metazoa; Chordata; Actinopteri; Siluriformes; Bagridae. The record is from RefSeq and is a predicted model, not a curated record.